RNAcentral lists this ribosomal RNA (373 nucleotides) under uncultured bacterium. RNAcentral describes it as "bacterial SSU rRNA". It matches the Rfam family "Bacterial small subunit ribosomal RNA", at positions 525 to 896 of the family's 1533-position model. The record is from RNAcentral.
ACGUAGGGUGCGAGCGUUGUCCGGAAUUAUUGGGCGUAAAGAGCUCGUAGGCGGUUCGUCGCGUCGAAUGUGAAAACCCGGGGCUCAACUCCGGGCCUGCAUUCGAUACGGGCGGACUAGAGUUCGGUAGGGGAGACUGGAAUUCCUGGUGUAGCGGUGAAAUGCGCAGAUAUCAGGAGGAACACCGGUGGCGAAGGCGGGUCUCUGGGCCGAUACUGACGCUGAGGAGCGAAAGCGUGGGGAGCGAACAGGAUUAGAUACCCUGGUAGUCCACGCCGUAAACGGUGGGCGCUAGGUGUGGGGGACUUCCACGUCUUCUGUGCCGCAGCUAACGCAUUAAGCGCCCCGCCUGGGGAGUACGGCCGGAAGGCUA